RNAcentral lists this ribosomal RNA (439 nucleotides) under uncultured bacterium. RNAcentral's name for it is "partial 16S ribosomal RNA". It matches the Rfam family "Bacterial small subunit ribosomal RNA", at positions 339 to 795 of the family's 1533-position model. The record is from RNAcentral.
CUACGGGUGGCUCCAGUGGGGAAUAUUGGACAAUGAGCGAAAGCUUGAUCCAGCAAUGCCACGUGAGUGAUGAAGGCUUUCGGGUCGUAAAGCUCUUUCAGUGAGGAAGAUAAUGACGGUACUCACAGAAGAAGGACCGGCUAACUCCGUGCCAGCAGCCGCGGUAAUACGGAGGGUUCUAGCGUUGUUCGGAUUUAUUGGGCAUAAAGGGUACGUAGGCGGUUUAGUGUGUCAGAUGUGAAAGCCCGGGGCUCAACCUCGGAAUUGCAUUUGAAACUGCUUGACUAGAGAAUGGUAUGGGAUGGCGGAACUUCUAGUGUAGGGGUGAAAUCCGUAGAUAUUAGAAAGAACACCAAAGGUGAAGACAGCUAUCUAGACCAUUACUGACGCUGAGGUACGAAGGCGUGGGGAGCAAACAGGAUUAGAUACCCCAGUAGUC